UUCGGUUAUAAGAUCCCUCGAAGAUGACGAGGUUAAUAGGUUCGAGGUGGAAGCGUGGUGACACGUGGAGCUGACGAAUACUAAUCGAUCGAAGACUUAAUCAAUUU
This 107-nucleotide ribosomal RNA is filed under the name Staphylococcus epidermidis. RNAcentral's name for it is "partial 23S ribosomal RNA". It matches the Rfam family "Bacterial large subunit ribosomal RNA", at positions 2821 to 2925 of the family's 2925-position model. The record is from RNAcentral. Lineage: Bacteria; Bacillati; Bacillota; Bacilli; Caryophanales; Staphylococcaceae.